GUUAAGAAUCUUGCACAAUGGGCGCAAGCCUGAUGCAGCGACGCCGCGUGGAUGAUGAAGGCCUUCGGGUUGUAAAGUCCGGUAAGCAGGGAAGAAUAAGCAACGGGUAAUAUUCGUUGUGAUGACGGUACCUGCCUAAAGCCCCGGCUAACUACGUGCCAGCAGCCGCGGUAAUACGUAUGGGGCAAGCGUUGUUCGGAAUUAUUGGGCGUAAAGGGCGUCUAGGCGGGGGAUUAAGUUAGAUGUGAAAGCUAUGGGCUCAACCCAUAAAUUGCAUCUAAGACUGGUUCUCUUGAGUCCGGGAGAGGAGAGCGGAAUUCCAGGUGUAGCGGUGAAAUGCGUAGAUAUCUGGAAGAACACCAGUGGCGAAGGCGGCUCUCUGGCCUAGGACUGACGCUGAAGCGCGAAAGCGUGGGGAGCGAACAGGAUUAGAAACCCUUGUAGUCC
Molecule: ribosomal RNA, 447 nt
Filed under: uncultured bacterium
Lineage: Bacteria
Description: partial 16S ribosomal RNA
Rfam family: Bacterial small subunit ribosomal RNA
Source: RNAcentral